This 513-nucleotide ribosomal RNA is filed under the name uncultured bacterium. Its description in RNAcentral is "partial 16S ribosomal RNA". It matches the Rfam family "Bacterial small subunit ribosomal RNA", at positions 28 to 523 of the family's 1533-position model. The record is from RNAcentral.
GACGAACGCUGGCGGCGUGCCUAAUACAUGCAAGUAGAACGCUGAAGGGAGGAGCUUGCUCUUCUUGGAUGAGUUGCGAACGGGUGAGUAACGCGUAGGUAACCUGCCUUGUAGCGGGGGAUAACUAUUGGAAACGAUAGCUAAUACCGCAUAACAAUGGAUGACUCAUGUCAUUUAUUUGAAAGGGACAAAUGCUCCACUACAAGAUGGACCUGCGUUGUAUUAGCUAGUAGGUGAGGUAACGGCUCACCUAGGCGACGAUACAUAGCCGACCUGAGAGGGUGAGCGGCCAGACUGGGACUGAGACACGGCCCAGACUCCUACGGGAGGCAGCAGUAGGGAAUCUUCGGCAAUGGGGGCAACCCUGACCGAGCAACGCCGCGUGAGUGAAGAAGGUUUUCGGAUCGUAAAGCUCUGUUGUAAGUCAAGAACGAGUGUGAGAGUGGAAAGUUCACACUGUGACGGUAGCUUACCAGAAAGGGACGGCUAACUACGUGCCAGCAGCCGCCGUAA